GGGGAAUUUUGGACAAUGGGCGCAAGCCUGAUCCAGCCAUGCCGCGUGCAGGAUGAAGGCCUUCGGGUUGUAAACUGCUUUUGUACGGAACGAAACGGUCUUUUCUAAUAAAGAAGGCUAAUGACGGUACCGUAAGAAUAAGCACCGGCUAACUACGUGCCAGCAGCCGCGGUAAUACGUAGGGUGCAAGCGUUAAUCGGAAUUACUGGGCGUAAAGCGUGCGCAGGCGGUGAUGUAAGACAGAUGUGAAAUCCCCGGGCUCAACCUGGGAACUGCAUUUGUGACUGCAUCGCUGGAGUGCGGCAGAGGGGGAUGGAAUUCCGCGUGUAGCAGUGAAAUGCGUAGAUAUGCGGAGGAACACCGAUGGCGAAGGCAAGCCCCUGGGCCUGCACUGACGCUCAUGCACGAAAGCGUGGGGAGCAAAC
Molecule: ribosomal RNA, 425 nt
Filed under: uncultured bacterium
Lineage: Bacteria
Description: bacterial SSU rRNA
Rfam family: Bacterial small subunit ribosomal RNA
Source: RNAcentral